GACGAACGCUGGCGGCGUGCCUAAUACAUGCAAGUUGAGCGCUGAAGGUUGGUACUUGUACCAACUGGAUGAGCAGCGAACGGGUGAGUAACGCGUGGGGAAUCUGCCUUUGAGCGGGGGACAACAUUUGGAAACGAAUGCUAAUACCGCAUAAAAACUUUAAACACAAGUUUUAAGUUUGAAAGAUGCAGUUGCAUCACUCAAAGAUGAUCCCGCGUUGUAUUAGCUAGUUGGUGAGGUAAAGGCUCACCAAGGCGAUGAUACAUAGCCGACCUGAGAGGGUGAUCGGCCACAGUGGGACUGAGACACGGCCCAAACUCCUACGGGAGGCAGCAGUAGGGAAUCUUCGGCAAUGGACGAAAGUCUGACCGAGCAACGCCGCGUGAGUGAAGAAGGUUUUCGGAUCGUAAAACUCUGUUGGUAGAGAAGAACGUUGGUGAGAGUGGAAAGCUCAUCAAGUGACGGUAACUACCCAGAAAGGGACGGCUAACUACGUG
RNAcentral lists this ribosomal RNA (497 nucleotides) under uncultured bacterium. Its description in RNAcentral is "partial 16S ribosomal RNA". It matches the Rfam family "Bacterial small subunit ribosomal RNA", at positions 28 to 507 of the family's 1533-position model. The record is from RNAcentral.